This 484-nucleotide ribosomal RNA is filed under the name uncultured bacterium. RNAcentral's name for it is "partial 16S ribosomal RNA". It matches the Rfam family "Bacterial small subunit ribosomal RNA", at positions 29 to 507 of the family's 1533-position model. The record is from RNAcentral.
AUUGAACGCUGGCGGCAUGCUUUACACAUGCAAGAUGAACGGCAGCGCGGGCUUCGGCCUGGCGGCGAGUGGCGAACGGGUGAGUAAUACAUCGGAACGUGCCCAGUAGUGGGGGAUAGCUCGGCGAAAGCCGGAUUAAUACCGCAUACGACCUGAGGGUGAAAGCGGGGGAUCUUCGGACCUCGCGCUAUUGGAGCGGCCGAUGGCAGAUUAGCUAGUUGGUGGGGUAAAGGCCUACCAAGGCGACGAUCUGUAGCUGGUCUGAGAGGACGACCAGCCACACUGGGACUGAGACACGGCCCAGACUCCUACGGGAGGCAGCAGUGGGGAAUUUUGGACAAUGGGCGAAAGCCUGAUCCAGCAAUGCCGCGUGUGUGAUGAAGGCCUUCGGGUUGUAAAGCACUUUUGGCGGGAACGAAAAGGACUGUGCCAAUACCACGGUUCGAUGACGGUACCCGCAGAAUAAGCACCGGCUAACUACGUG